GGCUCUGUAGUGAAGUUCAUGGUGAGUUGCAAGCUCAUUGAUGCACAUUGAUCGUGUGCCGGGGCCU
This 67-nucleotide transfer RNA is filed under the name Philentoma pyrhoptera (rufous-winged Philentoma). RNAcentral's name for it is "tRNA-Cys". Lineage: Eukaryota; Metazoa; Chordata; Aves; Passeriformes; Prionopidae. The record is from RNAcentral.